Molecule: ribosomal RNA, 422 nt
Filed under: uncultured bacterium
Lineage: Bacteria
Description: bacterial SSU rRNA
Rfam family: Bacterial small subunit ribosomal RNA
Source: RNAcentral
UGAGGAAUAUUGGGCAAUGCCCGCAAGGGUGACCCAGCAACGCCGCGUGGAGGAUGAAUGUCGUAAGAUUGUAAACUCCUGUUAGAGGAGAGGAAUAGUACCGGUUGGACCGGUAUAUGACUGUACCCUCAGAGAAAGCCCCGGCUAACUACGUGCCAGCAGCCGCGGUAAUACGGAGGGUGCAAGCGUUAUCCGGAAUCAUUGGGUUUAAAGGGUCCGCAGGCGGAUAUAUAAGUCAGUGGUGAAAUCCUGCAGCUUAACUGCAGAACUGCCAUUGAUACUGUAUAUCUUGAAUUGAGUGGGAGUCGGCGGAAUAUGACAUGUAGCGGUGAAAUGCAUAGAUAUGUCAUAGAACACCGAAAGCGAAGGCAGCUCACUAUACUUAAAUUGACGCUCAUGGACGAAAGCGUGGGGAGCAAACA